CCUACGGGUGGCUGCAGUGGGGAAUAUUGCGCAAUGGGGGCAACCCUGAUGCAGCAACGCCGCGUGAGUGAUGACGGCCUUCGGGUUGUAAAGCUCUGUCUUCAGGGACGAUAAUGACGAUACCUGCUGAGGAAUCCACGGCUAACUACGACCCGCCAGCCGCGGUCGUACGUAGUGGGCUGGCGUUAUCCGGAAUUACUGGGCGAAAGGGGGGCGGAGGUGGUGUCUGAAGUCAGAGGUGAAAGGCUACGGCUCAACCGUAGUAAGCCUUUGAAACUGGGUAACUUGAGUGCAGGAGAGGAGAGUGGAAUUCCUAGUGUAGCGGUGAAAUGCGUAGAUAUUAGGAGGAACACCAGUUGCGAAGGCGGCUCGCUGGACUGUAACUGACACUGAGGCACGAAAGCGUGGGGAGCAAACAGGAUUAGAUACCCGGGUAGUC
Molecule: ribosomal RNA, 439 nt
Filed under: uncultured bacterium
Lineage: Bacteria
Description: partial 16S ribosomal RNA
Rfam family: Bacterial small subunit ribosomal RNA
Source: RNAcentral